RNAcentral lists this ribosomal RNA (577 nucleotides) under uncultured Bacilli bacterium. Its description in RNAcentral is "bacterial SSU rRNA". It matches the Rfam family "Bacterial small subunit ribosomal RNA", at positions 159 to 724 of the family's 1533-position model. The record is from RNAcentral. Lineage: Bacteria; Bacillati; Bacillota; Bacilli.
AUAGCUAAUACCGCAUAACAAUGGAUGACACAUGUCAUUUAUUUGAAAGGGGCAAUUGCUCCACUACAAGAUGGACCUGCGUUGUAUUAGCUAGUAGGUGAGGUAACGGCUCGCCUAGGCGACGAUACAUAGCCGACCUGAGAGGGUGAUCGGCCACACUGGGACUGAGACACGGCCCAGACUCCUACGGGAGGCAGCAGUAGGGAAUCUUCGGCAAUGGGGGCAACCCUGACCGAGCAACGCCGCGUGAGUGAAGAAGGUUUUCGGAUCGUAAAGCUCUGUUGUAAGUCAAGAACGAGUGUGGGAGUGGAAAGUUCACACUGUGACGGUAGCUUACCAGAAAGGGACGGCUAACUACGUGCCAGCAGCCGCGGUAAUACGUAGGUCCCGAGCGUUGUCCGGAUUUAUUGGGCGUAAAGCGAGCGCAGGCGGUUUGAUAAGUCUGAAGUUAAAGGCUGUGGCUCAACCAUAGUUCGCUUUGGAAACUGUCAAACUUGAGUGCAGAAGGGGAGAGUGGAAUUCCAUGUGUAGCGGUGAAAUGCGUAGAUAUAUGGAGGAACACCGGUGGCGAAAGCGG